This is a long non-coding RNA of Hipposideros armiger (great roundleaf bat), 1456 nucleotides long. RefSeq lists it as uncharacterized. The record is from RefSeq and is a predicted model, not a curated record. NCBI's taxonomy places the organism in Eukaryota, Metazoa, Chordata, Mammalia, Chiroptera, Hipposideridae. The transcript has 3 exons.
GGAGGUCAUGCUCAGAUUCCCUGCUGCUCCAGUGAUACACAAGCAGGACCACCUGGGGAGAAGUCACAGGGACCUUAAGACACAGAAAGGUAUCCACUGGGAGGUUUUAAGAAUGAAACAAGAGAAUGCAAGUAAAGGGCCUAGUACAGAGCCUGGCAUAUAGCCAAAGCAUAAAAGCUGCUACUGCAAAGCUGAGAAAUCCAAAUGAGAGAAAACGGACUAGAAUCUGGCAACAUUUUGGAACAUGCAUUCCAGUGUGUGGCUGUUCAGGUGAGUGUGCUGUUGCAUGAGAUGAUUAAGCAGUAACAUUCACAAUAGAAACAGGGGUGAGGGUGGCUGGGAGCACCCCCAUUUCUGACACCUCAAGUCCACCUCUGGGGACACCACUAUAAACACUGGUAGACUACUGCAGACAUUAUUAAAUGUUCAAAGAGUGACCGUGCAUUUCUAGUGAUGAUGAAAUAAAAGAAGUGUUCCUCAAAUAUAAGUAAAGGGUCAGAAAUAGCAAUAAAAAGAGAAUUUUAUGUGUACUUUUUGUAGGUGGAUGAAAACUUGCUUUCAUUAAUACCAGAGAAGCACUUCAGUCUCCUACCGUAUAAAACCUUGUGUUUUUCCACCUCCGAAUAGUCAGAUUUUCUUUCUGAAUGGGGUCAGAAAUCACUAGGGCAAAGGUAGCGAGCUCACUGCAUGUUGACUUGUUGCCUGAACUUUGUGGCCCCGUGAUUUACUGCCUGUGAGUGUGUUGGGCAAUAUGAGAACACUGAGCAGGGUGUCCUGGUUCUCUCUAGAGACCAUCCUCAUUUUUUUCUGUUUUGUGGCAUAUAUUCAGUGACCUACCCUGUAUUCACUGCGUAGAUGUCCAAUAACUCAGAAAGUGAUAAAAAACUACUGGUAGUUACCAGUAACCCAUACCUUAACUAUUGCUUUUUAAACUGUUCUGUUACAGUUCACAUAUUAUAAACUGACAUAUCCUUUUGAGGUUUAGCUCACUUGCAUAGUUUUUGCACACGACCGUUUGAGUAGUCUUUGCCUCUCCAGCUAAAUCCUGGCCUCCCUGAAGGCAGGAACCAAGCUAUAGAAUUCUAUCGUGGAACCUAAGGGUAGCUGGCACAGAGCUGGGCUCUAGAAAUUUGCAGAUGAAAACCAAAUCAACAAAAACUUGACUCCCUAUCACAGUAAUUUCUUAGAACCUCCAUCACAAUCACCUGGUAAGUUUGGUGACGCUGAGCAAGGAUAUCUGGGAGAAAGGCCCAGGAAUGUACAUGUUAAACAAGCCCCUUAGAGAUUCUCAUGCAUGUGGAAGUUUGGGAAUUAGAGAACUACUACAUAUGGGCACACCUCGUUUUAUUGCGUCUUGAUUUUUUGUGCUCCACGGGUACUAUUUUGUAGGGUUUUUUUUACAAAUUGAAGACAAAACCCUCUACCAGCAAAAAGAUUACAACUUGCGUUAUUGUGA